AGAAGUCGACUGAAAGUGAUUAACCGAGAGGUGAACAUGGUUGCCCCAGCAAAGGCAAAUUAUCUGAAGUGGUCUCAAACACCCAUCACAUUCGACCAAUCUGAUCACCCGACUCAUAUUGCCACCCCUGGGAGGCAAGCUUUGGUGGUCGAUCCAGUUGUCGAAGGCACUCGACUGACAAAGGUGCUGAUGGAUGGUGGAAGUGGGCUGAACUUAUUAUAUGCAGACACAUUGAAAGGUAUGGGCAUUCCGAUGUCCCGACUGAGCACUAGUAACAUGAGCUUCCAUGGAGUUAUACCAGGGAAGAAGGCCGAGUCACUCGGCCAGAUAGCUUUGGACGUAGUGUUUGGUGAUUCGAAGCAUUUUCGCAAAGAAAAGUUGACGUUUGAGGUCGUGGAUUUUCAAAGUGCAUAUCAUGCCAUUUUGGGGAGACCAGCCUAUGCACGGUUCAUGGCUCGACCAUGUUACGUGUACCUCAAAUUGAAGAUGCCCGGUCCC
RNAcentral lists this ribosomal RNA (498 nucleotides) under Triticum aestivum (bread wheat). RNAcentral's name for it is "partial small subunit ribosomal RNA". The record is from RNAcentral. Lineage: Eukaryota; Viridiplantae; Streptophyta; Magnoliopsida; Poales; Poaceae.